UUUUGGAAGUUUCAGGAUAGGUGUUAACUCUUCUCUAAAUGUUUGGUAGAGUUUGCCUGUAAAGCUCUCUGGUCCUGGACUUUUGAUUGUUGGGAGUUUAAAAAUUACUGAUGCGGAUAUACUGACAUGGCUCAGUGGAAACGAAUACGACCAGUAACUCUAAGUACACAAGUUCCACCCCUGGCUCAGUGGGUUAAGGAUCCUGAGUUGCCAUGAGCUGUGGUGUAGGGAUAAAAUCAGCAUUCUUACGGAUACUAGUAGGAUUUGUUUCUGCUGUGCCACGAGAACUCCCUGCUGUUGAAUUCUGAAUGCACUGUGCCACAGCGGGAACGCCACAUAUUUUUUUUUGAAUACAUGGAACAUUCAAACAAUAAUUUUUGAAGAAUAAAAUUAUUUUUUGUCACAACAAAUUAUAAAAAGGGGCAGCACAAGAGAAUUCUGGGAGGUGGUAGAACUGUUCCAUAUCUCGAUUAUGGUUAUUACAUGAUUUGGCAUUUGUGAAAACUCAGAAUUAUACAUCAAAAAGAGUGAAUCUUACUAUGUAAAUUUAAAAAUUAAAAUGUUUUAAGAGGGGGAGAAAUAUCAUUUUAUAGCCCAUUAAUAACCUUUAGGGCAACCAAAAUGCAACGCUGGUCUUAUAAAGAAUAAUAUUCUAGUGGUAGAAAUUUAGUUGCUCAAUCAAAUUUCGUGGAGAGAUAUUUUCAGAGAUUUUAGAAUUUUUAAACCGGGAAAUCAUCUAUCCACUGUAGUAUUAUACUGUAGCUUUUUUUGGCUUACAGAUCCAUUUUUCCCCUCUCCCACAUAAGACUGUUAGAUUCCAAAGGGCAUCUCCCUGUGUCCCUGUUUAGUUAUCUUGGUAUCCCCAGACUCUACCUAGUAUAUCUGACACCUAGUGGAUACUCAACGAAUAUUUGCUGAAGAAGUAGAAGUCCUGUUUUAAGCACAGAAGGAAAAGUGAAAGUAAAUAUGAUACAGCCCCUGCUCUCAAAAAACCUUAAACCUUAGUGGCCAUGUACCCUCAAUAUAGUUAGUAGUACACAAGCACAAGUGGGAAAUGAAAGAGGAAGGAGGUAGGGGAAGAUUUGGUGUAGGCUGACUACUUUUUCU
RNAcentral lists this long non-coding RNA (1107 nucleotides) under Sus scrofa (pig). Its description in RNAcentral is "lncRNA (ENSSSCG00065040939.1)". The record is from RNAcentral. Lineage: Eukaryota; Metazoa; Chordata; Mammalia; Artiodactyla; Suidae.